AUAUCUCUCUGUACGGGAAGGAUGAGAAGCUUCGACCAAGGUUCGAUUCGAGCGUCAGCGAGAAAGCGUUGCCGCAGGCAACGACCCGAAGGGCGAAGCGCGCAGCGCUGAGUA
Molecule: small RNA, 114 nt
Filed under: Salmonella enterica subsp. enterica
Lineage: Bacteria; Pseudomonadati; Pseudomonadota; Gammaproteobacteria; Enterobacterales; Enterobacteriaceae
Description: partial RtT sRNA
Rfam family: RtT RNA
About the family: This family represents a bacterial cis-regulatory element known as RtT RNA. The exact function of RtT is unknown although it is thought that it may be involved in changing the cellular response in relation to amino acid starvation.
Source: RNAcentral